Molecule: long non-coding RNA, 1685 nt
Organism: Homo sapiens (human)
Lineage: Eukaryota; Metazoa; Chordata; Mammalia; Primates; Hominidae
Gene: PVT1
Product: Pvt1 oncogene
Source: Ensembl
CAUGGGCCAGAGGAGGCAGGGAUAAGAGGAGUGGUUUCUUGGCCACCAGAAUGGAAACGUUUUUGUUUUCUUGUGUGCUUUUGUGGAAAUGGUGGCAGUUGCUCACUAAAGAGAACUAAAACCCUUUUACUAGAGCCCCACCAGGUCUGAAGAGGAUGGGCGCGUGGGAGCCAUUAUCUUGUAAAGGACGCUAUUGAGACCUUGCUACUGCUGCAGUGAAGAGCACAGGAAAAGCCAAGCUUAAAAAACACUGGGCGAAUCCUAAGAACUUUUCAUGCAGAAACACAUGCAUGAUGAGAAGAGAAUCUUCAUUACAACAUUGUUUGACACAGAAAAACGAGACUCAGCUUAAAUGCUCAUUAGUUAGUGAUUGGUUGAUUAAGUUGUGAUAAAAUGGAACACUAAUACAGCUGUUUAAAAAAUUAGUAAAAAAAAAUCAGUAUGUGAGAUGAUGCACCUGUUAAUUAACUCAACUUAGCCAUUCCACAAUGUAUACAUCAUUCAAAACUUCACAUCAUAUAUUAUAAAUAUAUACAAUUUUUAUUUGUGAAUUAAAAAUUAAUCUAAAAAAAUUAGUGGCUAUAUGAAGUAAUUGGGAACAAUCUUGAAGCUAUAUUAACUACCAAAGAGCAAAGUCAACCUUAACAAUGCUGACUUUUUAAAGAAUAGUGCCUAGAACACUGUGUGGAGUAUGCUAACAGCUACACACUAAUGCACAGCCACCAACCCCAGAUCAGUUACGUGAACUUCUGCAUUCACAAACACACUUAACACACUCUGUGGCUAUUGCCUCUUUACUGACCUGUAAGUCAGUUCUAGAAGACAGACGAUCCAUGAAGGCAGGUCCUAGCCUGCCCAUUUGCAUUGGUAUCUCCAAGGCCAAGCUAGAGAAGGCACACAAUAGGCUUUCCACUAAUAUUUGUGAAUGAAUGAAUGAACAGAGAGAGGAGUUUUCUUUCCACAGUUUCCUUCUACCUGCUACUCCUUGAGCAUAUGAGGCUGGAAUCUAAGCCCUGAGGUCACUCACUGCUCUCCUGGGUACUAUCCCUGGCCUCCCGUCCUUUUCCUUGAGCUUCUGUGCUCUGCAAGGCUUUCUCAUUAUCCUUUAGGCUACAGAGAAACAAGGAGACGGGAGAGCCUUGAAAUGGACCUUCAAGAUUACAAUGUGUAGCUGACAUUGUCAGUUAAGUUGGGCAGAUCUGACUUCGCUGAUUAAGUGGAUGUAUGAGCCGAUCCUCCCCAGAAGCUGGGAUCAGCUUCCCCAUCUGAUGAAGGACAGAAUAACGGGCUCCCAGAUUCACAAGCCCCACCAAGAGGAUCACCCCAGGAACGCUUGGAGGCUGAGGAGUUCACUGAGGCUACUGCAUCUUGAGACUCAGGAUGAAGACCCAGCUUGGGGCUGUCAAAGGUUUUUUGCAUGUCUGACACCCAUGACUCCACCUGGACCUUAUGGCUCCACCCAGAAGCAAUUCAGCCCAACAGGAGGACAGCUUCAACCCAUUACGAUUUCAUCUCUGCCCCAACCACUCAGCAGCAAGCACCUGUUACCUGUCCACCCCCACCCCUUCCCCCAAACUGCCUUUGAAAAAUCCCUAACCUAUGAGCUUUGAAUAAGAUGAGUACGAACUUCAUCGCCCACGUGGCGUGGCCGGCCUCGUGUCUAUUAAAUUCUUUUUCUACUACAA